UACGUAGGGUGCAAGCGUUGUCCGGAAUUAUUGGGCGUAAAGAGCUCGUAGGCGGUUUGUCGCGUCUGCGGUGAAAACCCGAGGCUCAACCUCGGGCCUGCAGUGGGUACGGGCAGACUAGAGUGCGGUAGGGGAGAUUGGAAUUCCUGGUGUAGCGGUGGAAUGCGCAGAUAUCAGGAGGAACACCAAUGGCGAAGGCAGAUCUCUGGGCCGUAACUGACGCUGAGGAGCGAAAGCAUGGGGAGCGAACAGG
Molecule: ribosomal RNA, 253 nt
Filed under: uncultured bacterium
Lineage: Bacteria
Description: partial 16S ribosomal RNA
Rfam family: Bacterial small subunit ribosomal RNA
Source: RNAcentral